This 468-nucleotide ribosomal RNA is filed under the name uncultured bacterium. RNAcentral describes it as "partial 16S ribosomal RNA". It matches the Rfam family "Bacterial small subunit ribosomal RNA", at positions 28 to 507 of the family's 1533-position model. The record is from RNAcentral.
GACGAACGCUGGCGGCGUGCUUAACACAUGCAAGUCGAACGGAAAGGCCCUGCUUUUGUGGGGUGCUCGAGUGGCGAACGGGUGAGUAACACGUGAGUAACCUGCCCUUGACUUUGGGAUAACUUCAGGAAACUGGGGCUAAUACCGGAUAGGAGCUCCUGCUGCAUGGUGGGGGUUGGAAAGUUUCGGCGGUUGGGGAUGGACUCGCGGCUUAUCAGCUUGUUGGUGGGGUAGUGGCUUACCAAGGCAUUGACGGGUAGCCGGCCUGAGAGGGUGACCGGCCACAUUGGGACUGAGAUACGGCCCAGACUCCUACGGGAGGCAGCAGUGGGGAAUAUUGCAAAAUGGGCGGAAGCCGGAUGCAGCAACGCCGCGUGCGGGAUGUCGGCCUUCGGGUUGUAACCCGCUUUCGCCUGUGACGAAGCGUGAGUGACGGUAAUGGGUAAAGAAGCACCGGCUAACUACGUG